Molecule: ribosomal RNA, 301 nt
Filed under: uncultured bacterium
Lineage: Bacteria
Description: partial 16S ribosomal RNA
Rfam family: Bacterial small subunit ribosomal RNA
Source: RNAcentral
CAGUAGCCACGGUAACACAGAGGGUGCAAGCGUUAAUCGGAAUUACUGGGCGUAAAGCGCGCGUAGGUGGUUUGUUAAGUUGGAUGUGAAAUCCCCGGGCUCAACCUGGGAACUGCAUCCAAAACUGGCAAGCUAGAGUAUGGUAGAGGGUGGUGGAAUUUCCUGUGUAGCGGUGAAAUGCGUAGAUAUAGGAAGGAACACCAGUGGCGAAGGCGACCACCUGGACUGAUACUGACACUGAGGUGCGAAAGCGUGGGGAGCAAACAGGAUUAGAUACCCCGGUAGUCCCUGUCUCUUAUAC